GGGCUGGAUGGCGCAACGGUGGUAGCGCACCGGGUUCACGACCCGGCGGACGACGGUUCGACUCCGUCACCAGCCCGCCA
RNAcentral lists this transfer RNA (80 nucleotides) under Bauldia sp. Its description in RNAcentral is "tRNA-Val". It matches the Rfam family "tRNA". Rfam says of the family: Transfer RNA (tRNA) molecules are approximately 80 nucleotides in length. The record is from RNAcentral. Lineage: Bacteria; Pseudomonadati; Pseudomonadota; Alphaproteobacteria; Hyphomicrobiales; Kaistiaceae.